AACGAACGCUGGCGGCAGGCCUAACACAUGCAAGUCGAACGCCCGUAGCAAUACGGGAGUGGCAGACGGGUGAGUAACGCGUGGGAACGUGCCCUUCGGUUCGGAAUAACUCAGGGAAACUUGAGCUAAUACCGGAUACGUCCGUAAGGAGAAAGAUUUAUUGCCGAAGGAUCGGCCCGCGUCGGAUUAGCUAGUUGGUGGGGUAAUGGCCCACCAAGGCGACGAUCCGUAGCUGGUCUGAGAGGAUGAUCAGCCACACUGGACUGAGACACGGCCCAGACUCCUACGGGAGGCAGCAGUGGGGAAUAUUGGACAAUGGGCGAAAGCCUGAUCCAGCCAUGCCGCGUGAGUGAAGAAGGCCUUAGGGUUGUAAAGCUCUUUCAGCGGGAAGGAUAAU
RNAcentral lists this ribosomal RNA (397 nucleotides) under uncultured bacterium. RNAcentral's name for it is "bacterial SSU rRNA". It matches the Rfam family "Bacterial small subunit ribosomal RNA", at positions 29 to 452 of the family's 1533-position model. The record is from RNAcentral.